AUGAAUUGCACUGGAAGCUGAUGCUGGCGAGCUGAUUUUUUUUGGCUGCAUGUGCUCGCUUCUAACAAUUUUUAUCCAAACACCUGUGCACUUUUGUGAAGAGGGUCUUGCAGGAUGGAUUACUGGUCUUUCCAGUGAUUUUCUUGUGGGUUCCCUUCUUCCCCCCCCAUACAUACUCCUUCAGUAUUAUUGAAUGUGCUUGUGCCGCAAGGCUUAUAAAUGUAAUA
RNAcentral lists this unclassified non-coding RNA (227 nucleotides) under uncultured Cantharellales. RNAcentral describes it as "sequence contains ITS1". Lineage: Eukaryota; Fungi; Basidiomycota; Agaricomycetes; Cantharellales. The record is from RNAcentral.